This 486-nucleotide ribosomal RNA is filed under the name uncultured bacterium. RNAcentral's name for it is "partial 16S ribosomal RNA". It matches the Rfam family "Bacterial small subunit ribosomal RNA", at positions 28 to 507 of the family's 1533-position model. The record is from RNAcentral.
GAUGAACGCUGGCGGCGUGCCUAAUACAUGCAAGUCGAACGCUGGAGAUCUAGCUUGCUAGAUCGAAGGAGUGGCGAACGGGUGAGUAAUACAUAAGCAACCUACCCACGAAGACUGGGAUAAUCUCUGGAAACGGGGACUAAUACCGGAUAGGUAAUCGGAAGGCAUCUUCUGGUUAUUAAAGGUUAAAAACACUGGUGGAUGGGCUUAUGGCGCAUUAGUUAGUUGGUGAGGUAACGGCCCACCAAGACGAUGAUGCGUAGCCGGCCUGAGAGGGUGAACGGCCACAUUGGGACUGAGACACGGCCCAGACUCCUACGGGAGGCAGCAGUAGGGAAUUUUCAGCAAUGGGGGCAACCCUGACCGAGCAACGCCGCGUGAGUGAAGACGGCCUUCGGGUUGUAAAGCUCUGUUGUAAGGGAAGAACGGUAGAUAGAGAAUAUCUAAGUGACGGUACCUUGCCAGAAAGCCACGGCUAACUACGUG